AGGCACCGGCGAGAUUCAAACUCACGAUCUUCUAUUAACUAUACAGGCGCUUUAACCAACAAAGCCACGGCGAC
This is a non-coding RNA of Araneus ventricosus, 74 nucleotides long. The record is from the annotation of a GenBank genome assembly. Lineage: Eukaryota; Metazoa; Arthropoda; Arachnida; Araneae; Araneidae.